GGGUGCUCGAGUGGCGAACGGGUGAGUAACACGUGAGUAACCUGCCCUUGACUUUGGGAUAACUUCAGGAAACUGGGGCUAAUACCGGAUAGGAGCUCCUGCUGCAUGGUGGGGGUUGGAAAGUUUCGGCGGUUGGGGAUGGACUCGCGGCUUAUCAGCUUGUUGGUGGGGUAGUGGCUUACCAAGGCUUUGACGGGUAGCCGGCCUGAGAGGGUGACCGGCCACAUUGGGACUGAGAUACGGCCCAGACUCCUACGGGAGGCAGCAGUGGGGAAUAUUGCACAAUGGGCGGAAGCCUGAUGCAGCAACGCCGCGUGCGGGAUGACGGCCUUCGGGUUGUAAACCGCUUUCGCCUGUGACGAAGCGUGAGUGACGGUAAUGGGUAAAGAAGCACCGGCUAACUACGUGCCAGCAGCCGCGGUGAUACGUAGGGUGCGAGCGUUGUCCGGAUUUAUUGGGCGUAAAGGGCUCGUAGGUGGUUGAUCGCGUCGGAAGUGUAAUCUUGGGGCUUAACCCUGAGCGUGCUUUCGAUACGGGUUGACUUGAGGAAGGUAGGG
This 557-nucleotide ribosomal RNA is filed under the name uncultured Propionibacterium sp. RNAcentral describes it as "bacterial SSU rRNA". It matches the Rfam family "Bacterial small subunit ribosomal RNA", at positions 85 to 656 of the family's 1533-position model. Lineage: Bacteria; Bacillati; Actinomycetota; Actinomycetes; Propionibacteriales; Propionibacteriaceae. The record is from RNAcentral.